AGUGGAAUAACUGGGUCAAAUGGUGGUUCCAUUCCAAGUUUUAUGGGGAGUCUCCAAACUGCUUUCCAUAGUGGUUUUACCAAUUUGCAGUCCCACCAGUAAU
Molecule: microRNA precursor, 103 nt
Filed under: Marmota monax (woodchuck)
Lineage: Eukaryota; Metazoa; Chordata; Mammalia; Rodentia; Sciuridae
Source: RNAcentral